UGCAGCCUUGUCAAAUUCAGUGUAACCCCCUCAGUGGGCUACACUGGCCAGAAUGGCUGCUACAGCGAGGAGGUAGUCCAUGGGCCCCAUGUUCUAGUACAGUAGAUACUGGGGAUAAAUAGGGCUAUGUACAACC
Molecule: small nucleolar RNA, 136 nt
Organism: Colossoma macropomum (tambaqui)
Lineage: Eukaryota; Metazoa; Chordata; Actinopteri; Characiformes; Serrasalmidae
Product: small nucleolar RNA SNORA5
Exons: 1
Source: RefSeq, a predicted model, not a curated record